Non-coding RNA from Cinara cedri, 351 nucleotides. The record is from the annotation of a GenBank genome assembly. Lineage: Eukaryota; Metazoa; Arthropoda; Insecta; Hemiptera; Aphididae.
AGGCAUGUUCACACUUAAUACACCAACCUAUAAGAGUUGAACGACGGAGUAUACCAAAAAAACUAACUUCGAGAAAUCAAAAAUACUUCCAUAUACUUGCCCAAAACUUAAACUUUUCAAUUGUAAAAAUGAAGUUAUUUAAAACAGACUGCGAAUAGAUCACACAAAGAUUUCUCAUGGUCAUCGUAUGCGAAAAGAAGAAAAAACACUCUUCCGAACUUGUGGUAAAUCUCUUACAGUCAAGCAUCUUCUAGUCUACCUACUGUUUAAAUCACGUGGAAACCAGAAGAUGCCUAGGAAUCUCAGACAACCUCUUCGAAGCCCUCAGCCCAGAUGAAGACAAUAGCAACG